RNAcentral lists this non-coding RNA (72 nucleotides) under Parvicella tangerina. The record is from RNAcentral. Lineage: Bacteria; Pseudomonadati; Bacteroidota; Flavobacteriia; Flavobacteriales; Parvicellaceae.
GCUACGCGUUAGCAUAGAGGAGAAGUCAGCAGAGGUCAUAGUAGUUGGGGAUAGAUACACCUAAUGAAGGAC